GUUGGUCUAUGGAUGGAGAAGCCUGGUAGGCUGCAGUCCUGGGUCGCACAGUCGGACACGACUGAAGCGACUUAGCAGCGGCAGCAGCAGCAUAGUAAGUAAUGGCUUUGAUGAGACACAUACACACAGAUGCUUCCUGUGGCAUUUAGAGUAACACAAACUUGCCUUGAGCUGACAGUUGUAUUUUUAUACUGUGACGUGGGCCAUAUAUUCAGGACCGUGGAGACAGAUAAGAAUUCUGAAGUUCCCUCGUGAUUACCCUUCGAAAGGAAGCCUUUGUUUAGCUCGUGGCAGUAUUCACAGGACAAUGGACUGCCAGUGAUAUAUGCAAGUCUGUCCUUUCUCAACGUCACUAGCUCAGCUUCUCUCUCUCUCCCGCUCUGGCCUCACUCAAUGGAAAACAGCUGGCCAAUCUCCUUCUCUGCCUUGAAGGUGGUUAUUGAAGUGCUUUCGCAUUUUCCCUCUGCAGCCUGUAGCACUGUCACUUACUGGGCAUCUGAGGUUCCGUGUCAGCAUGAAAACUCAUUACCUGCCUGCCUGGUUCUGCUGGCUCAGCUCCUUCUUGGAAGCAGGUGGCAUUUCCAUAAUGAAUAUAUUAAAAAGAAAGAAAACAUUCCUGGUUUGUUGUUAGACUGGUUUCUUAUUAGACACCCAGUCCUCAUUCGAGCAUUAAUUGCUGUAUUGCAAUGAAAGAGUGUUAUCAGUGAAGAAGCUCCAGGCAAGAAAAGAGAAGUAAGCAGUUUUCCUGGACAUAUUUACUGAGGUGAAAAUGUACAGAGAGAGUCACUAGGGCAUCAGCUUGCUGGAGGAGGGCGCCUGUCGGGACACGGGAGUCCCGACACCCAAACCAGGAGGCGCUGGAGACGCCAGCCUCCUUCGUCCAGCGCCCAGGUACAACUAUUAAGGAGUGUCAGCGCGUGGUAGAAGUGUAACAUCUGCAGUAAGUUUUUUUCCCUCUUAAUCACCAUCAUUAUUAUUAUCAUCAUUAUUAUUAUCUUCAUUAUUAUUACGAAUACUGUCUCACAUCUUUCAACUCCAGAAAAUAAACUGAUCCACAGUUUAUCGUGUGGUGCCAACCUGGUUGGUCUGACAUGCAUUGCCUUCUCCCCUCCCCUCUUGGGUUUGUUCACUCACUCACUCACUCACUCAUUCAUUCAUUUGUCCACAGCUGGAAUCAGAGGUUUGUUACCCCAAACACACACUAACCAAAGCUGGUCAGUGUCCAUUAAUCAAUCAAUUUUAAGAUGCACACACGCACAGACACACACACGUCAGAAAUAGCUAGAAUGAUGCUGGGAAAUAUCAGGUAGCCAUUAAAGCGAGUAGCCCCAAGUCAGUCAUCUUGGCCUGAAGAUGUAAACGAGGAGGUGUGCUUCACGGAGUUUGGUGUUCGCUUUUCCUGCGCUGAAGCCACCUCUAUCCUUCCGUGCUCACGUCCAUCCACAGUUGUGCAGGACGUUACGUCAAGAUGUGGCCAAUAAAGUCCAAAAGCGCUUGGAAUACUGUUCUGGGUUCACGGUGGAGAUCUCCGCGCCAGCCUGGGCAGUGUGGGAGAAGAGGAACAGCGAUACUGUUAGAACUACUUGAUCAGCACCGACAGCAGCUUCCACUGCAGCUGAAUAUGAAGCCAGUCACUUUCAAACCUGUGCAGCCUCUACUCAGAACUCAGAAUAUCUUGGAUAUGGGUCUGAAUAACCAAGACUUAAGAAUCUGGGUGUGAAAAUGAGGCAGUCUCAGGAAAAACAGAGGCUGGUGUCAUAUACAUUGUGACUGCUGCCACCAAA
Molecule: long non-coding RNA, 1784 nt
Organism: Bos grunniens (domestic yak)
Lineage: Eukaryota; Metazoa; Chordata; Mammalia; Artiodactyla; Bovidae
Source: Ensembl